CGAGUUUGAUCAUGGCUCAGAACGAACGCUGGCGGCGCGUCUUAAACAUGCAAGUCGAACGAUCUGUAGCAAUACAGGGAGUGGCGGACGGGUGAGGAACACGUAGGAAUCUACCUAGAAGAGCGGGACAACUUUGGGAAACCGGGGCUAAUACCGCAUAGUACAGAGAUGUUAAAGGGCUAGCAAUAGUCGCUUCUAGAUGAGCCUGCGGUCUAUCAGCUUGUUGGUGAGGUAAUGGCUCACCAAGGCUACGACGGAUAGCCGGUCUGAGAGGAUGAUCGGCCACACUGGCACUGAGACACGGGCCAGACUCCUACGGGAGGCAGCAGUUAAGAAUCUUGCGCAAUGGGGGAAACCCUGACGCAGCGACGCCGCGUGAAGGAUGAAGGCUUUCGGGUUGUAAACUUCGGUAGACUGGGAAGAAGAACUACGUUCGUUGAGGGCGUAGAGUGACGGUACCAGUCUGAAGCCCCGGCUAAUUACGUG
This 486-nucleotide ribosomal RNA is filed under the name uncultured bacterium. RNAcentral describes it as "bacterial SSU rRNA". It matches the Rfam family "Bacterial small subunit ribosomal RNA", at positions 9 to 507 of the family's 1533-position model. The record is from RNAcentral.